GACGAACGCUGGCGGCGUGCUUAACACAUGCAAGUCGAACGGAAAGGCCCUGCUUUUGUGGGGUGCUCGAGUGGCGAACGGGUGAGUAACACGUGAGUAACCUGCCCUUGACUUUGGGAUAACUUCAGGAAACUGGGGCUAAUACCGGAUAGGAGCUCCUGCUGCAUGGUGGGGGUUGGAAAGUUUCGGCGGUUGGGGAUGGACUCGCGGCUUAUCAGCUUGUUGGUGGGGUAGUGGCUUACCAAGGCUUUGACGGGUAGCCGGCCUGAGAGGGUGACCGGCCACAUUGGGACUGAGAUACGGCCCAGAAUCCUACGGGAGGCAGCAGUGGGGAAUAUUGCACAAUGGGCGGAAGCCUGAUGCAGAAACGCCGCGUGCGGGAUGACGGCCUUCGGGUUGUAAACCGCUUUCGCCUGUGACGAAGCGUGAGUGACGGUAAUGGGUAAAGAAGCACCGGCUAACUACGUG
This 468-nucleotide ribosomal RNA is filed under the name uncultured bacterium. RNAcentral's name for it is "partial 16S ribosomal RNA". It matches the Rfam family "Bacterial small subunit ribosomal RNA", at positions 28 to 507 of the family's 1533-position model. The record is from RNAcentral.